GGUGUGAAAACAGUGGCUUCAAAAACAGGUUGUAGGACAUGUCCCUGUUUCAUAAGCUAUUUUUCAUUUUUAUAGACAGUCACCGUAUCUCCUUUCUCACCUUAAACUGACAGUGUUGCUAACACUGCCCUAUUCAGGCACUUAUUUAUUUGCUGCUGGUGUAGGUUUUUAAAACUGCAGAUGUGUUAGGCUUACAUCUGUUCCCAAGUCUGGGUCAUUUUGGCUAAAUGGGUUUGAAGAUGACAUGAGUAGUUCAGGCAGUAUUUCCAAGGGGAUGAGUCAAACAAACUAGGAGAAGAAUUGUAGCAUGUAACUGAGACCAGAUGGAUGUUAUAAUAUUCUGCUGCCACAAUUAUUUUAAACUCUAUCCACAGUUUAAAAUGCAGGUGAGGAAAGAGGAGUACACUUUCAGGGAAAGCUCCUGAAAAUUGUUUCUUCCAAGAAGUUGUGGCUCUACAACACACCAAAUUUGAUCCUGGGUAUUGUGGCUCAAAAUUCCACCUGGUUUUAUUUCCUUCCUAUAUGUCCUCUGUCAUGAGAAUGAGAAGCUGCACAUCCACCCCCAGACCAUAAUAUCUUAUUCCAGAACACACUCACUC
This is a long non-coding RNA of Athene cunicularia (burrowing owl), 599 nucleotides long. RefSeq lists it as uncharacterized. The record is from RefSeq and is a predicted model, not a curated record. NCBI's taxonomy places the organism in Eukaryota, Metazoa, Chordata, Aves, Strigiformes, Strigidae. The transcript has 3 exons.